AUGGGGAAAAACCCCUGUGACCUUUUUGUGACCCGCACUGGUUCCACCAUUAUUUAAUGCACGUAUAUAUAACAAAGUAUAUAUAACAAAGUACGACUGUGUACUAAAGCACCAUGGGUUCCUUCCUUAUUCCAUCAUUGUUACACAACAAUGAUGAGCCUAACCAUGAUUGGACACGACAAUAAAGAGCCUAACUAUGAUUGGACAGGCAGUGUGUCUCCUGAGAUCAGGGGUUGGCCCCCCUGAUCUCACGUGACCUCUGCAUAUAAGAGCGGACUUUUCUGGGCACACUUUGGGGUCGGUUGUAGGACUUCACGCGUAGUCGCUCGCCCGGAGUUUCCUUUGCUCAAACCAGGAACGUUGUGUGGCCCUCCGUUCAUUGUCGACAUGGUAAGAGCUUGAUUUAAAUAUCAUAAAGGAACUCAUUGCGCUUUGGUGUUAAGAUAUCUGUGUUAGCUUCGAGAACUAAUCCAUAUCUAGCGCCAUGGUAAUGUGUAACUGAUAUGCUGAACCGUUAACUGCUUUGUGUAGCUGACUGAACUGAUAACUGAUAUGUUGAACCGUUAACUGCUUUGUGUAGCUGACUGAACUGAUAACUGAUAUGCUGAACCGUUAACUGCUUUGUGUAGCUAACUGAACUGAUAACUGAUAUGCUGAACCGUUAACUGCUUUGUGUAGCUAACUGAACUGAUAACUGAUAUGCUGAACCGUUAACUGCUUUGUGUAGUUGACUGAACUGAUAUGUGUAACCGUUAACUGUCGAGUUUUGUCUUUGCUUGCUUUUGUGGGACUGUAAUCGAUUAAGCUUUAAUUUCUCCUGUUAUCCUCUUCAUUUAUUCAUUUCAUUUACAAUUUCUAUUCAAUAAACAUUGCUAAUAAGCAAAAGUGUGCCUGUUAUUCUACUCACUGCGAACCUGUUACGAAGUUUCUUUCAUCUUCCAUGAAAGUGUGAUCUCGAUCACUUCGUAUAAAAAACUGAUUAUACGAAAUUUGCUUGUUUGACGCUGCAAUUGAUUAUGAGCAGUGUCAGGGUUAUUUUACAUUAUAGCUAUCUCGAAAUUGUUGCUGAUAAUUUCGUAAAACACCGAUCCUUUGCGGUUGCUGCCCCCAGGCUGUGGAACAGCCUUCCCCCCGAAAUCCGCACCACCACGGAUGUAGGUCUUUUUAAGUCUCGGCUAAAAACACACCUUUUUAGACUCGCCUUUUACAAAGAUUAGGAUAGCCUGGUUUUAUUAGCUUAAGGGCUUUUUUAAUGUUUCUUUUCGAUUUUAUCGGUUUUAUUGUUUUACUUGCUGGAAUUUUAUUGCGAUGCGCUCUUUGUUUUAUUUUAUUUUGUAAAAUGUCAUUGUAUAAUAUUUUCCUGCCUUUUAUUUAUCUUGAGCCAUGUUUUGUUGUAAAGCACUUUGGGGGCCUUUCGGGUUUUGUAAAGGGCUAUAUAAAUAAAUUUGAUUGAUUGAUUGAAAUAACAGUCUUGUGCUAAAUGGAAUAUGAAAUAAUAAAAAUGCACUUAUUCAGGACGACAUGGCAAAAUUACUCCAUAAUGGUCAGAACUGUCGACUUCACCUUUACUGUCGCACCUCCCAAACCAUAUUUUAUGACACCUAAAUCGGACAUGUCAUUUCCCUUCCCCGGCUUCGGAGAAUGUAAACAAACCAAGAGGCGUGACAGCUAGCUGACAUGCUAACCCGAACCGAGUGAUGUUUCAAAGUCUUCGAAGUGUGAAAAUCACACAUAACUAGCCCAGAUUAUUUGACAUGACGACUGGGUUGUCGAUUAUCUUUGUGGAUCGGCAAACCGCCCGGCGGAGAGCAAUUUACAGUUCCUUCCGCGGAGGAGGGUGGCUGCAGUUGUUGUGCAGCUAACGUACAGCUAAUGUGACCAGUGUCAGAAGGUGGGACCACAGCUCAACAUUGUGAAGAAACUGGAUUGUAUCAAGGUAUCUGCUGUUUGGGAGCUGGUGGGAAUCGACCUCACAGGUCCAUUGCCCAAAACAUCCAGAGGCUAUCAGUCAGUCAGGCUGACAGCCACUGAUUAUUUUUCCAAGUGGGUGGAAGCCUUUCCCCAAAAAAACCAAAUCAGCUGAGGAGGUGGCAAAAAAUCUUUGUACCAUGAUAUACAGACAUGGCUGUCCCAUAAGAAUACUUCCGGACCAAGGACGAGAGUUUGUAAAUGAAAUUAACAAGAAAAUGUGUGAACUGCUAUGCAUUGAAAGCCGCUUACCACAGCCGCUUACCACCCUCAAACAAAUGGUUUGGAUGAGAGAACCAAUGCCAACAUUAAUCGAGCUCUGAGGAAGUAUGUAAAUCAGGACCAAAUGACUGGGAUGAAUACCUGGAUCCAGUGCUUUUCUCAUUGAGAUCCAAAAUACAAACCACAACUAAAUUUUCACCAUUCCUCUUGAUGUAUGGUAGAGAGGCGAGGUUUCCUGCGGAAGUGCCUCUCGAACUGCCAUGCACCAACUAUGGUCUAAAAAAGAUUCUGGCCAAGUGGAAGCUGUUGUAGGACCGUUUAAGUUACAUGACAACUCUUUCAGAAGCCUACAUGGAAAUAAUUGGUUGGCUGAUGAGAUCAUUGAUGCUUACUUGCACAAACUUUUGCAGUAAAGUACUAACAGAAUCCGUUGUUGCCACUGCCAUUUUCUACUGUGGCCAGUUCAAAGUUGGUGAAAAGAUGACAUGGCUAGAUGACAUGGCCCGACUGUCAGACAUGAAUCUGCCCAGUGAAUGUUGGUAAUCACUGGAUUUUAAUGAUUGUAAAACCAGACAAAUAUUGGGCCAUUUUGAUAGCCCCAAUGGGCAAUGAAGAACAAUAUGAGUGGAAAAUUCUCCGGAAUUUGAGGAAUUUCUGGAAGAGCAGAAAUGUGCCAUCAAGGCCAUGGCAUCAAAAAAUGCUGCCACACAAAUUGCAGCAGGAUGUCUCUAAUCGUGGAAUCUUAAUUUUGAAGUUUGCAGAGCAGUAUUUAAAAUACGAAGAAAUUCACUCCGUAGAAACUAACAUGGAGGCGAUGGAAGCCGCAAGACUUCAAAUUGCAGCCAUUCUUUUGAUGUGCAAAGAAUCUGUGGAUGAGUAUUGUGUGUCCUGUUCAAUGCUGCAAUAUGAUGGUGAACAAAGCAUCAUUGAUAUGGUGGAGUGUGACUUUUGUUCACGGUGGACACAUACACAAUGUGCAGGACAACACCACGAUACCUUUGAAUGCAGAAAAUGCAAGUUGAAUUCCACAGAACUGAAGAAUUAAAAUACAAAAAUUGAUGUCAAAUUUCAAUGUAACAUGAUUCACUGCUUUCGUCGUCUACCGUGACAUAAUGUUAUGGUUAUAGUGUCCACUGCAUAUGGGGGGACACAUUCUUCAAAUAUUUGCAAUGUUAAUUUAAAAAAUAGUUCUGUGACAAGAGAUGUCACUGUAGCAAAAAAAAAAGACGUUUAAAUCCAUGUUUCAGGCAAGGUAAGCCUUUUUUUUUUUUUUUUUUUCAUAAUUAAUGGCAAAAUUAUUCAAAGUACAUUACAUAUUAAAAUCAGCUUGAUACAAUUGAAGUGUUUACUUUUUAAUCCCUGAUUGUGUGCCAACAGCUGAUUUCUCACAUGAAUCACUUACUGAUCAUAUGUUAACAACUUUUGUAUAGUUAUGCACCUUUCAGUAUCACAUUUUGUUAAUUGGUGUGUCUUUGCAGAAUGUUGCGUUGAUUAAAUUUCUCUGCGCUUUGUGUGUGACUAGUGUGUCUGUGUCCUGGGUUAGGGAGUGAAUGAAUGGCCACUUUGCUACUUGGAGUGGUGAUCCCAUCUCAAAUGCGACUAUUUAAAAAAAAAAAAAAAAUUGCCAUGAAUCUUAACCACUCCUAUUUAAUGUCUAUUAAAGAACAUCAAAAGGGAAAAAAAAGCUUGACACAAUUGGCAAUGAAGGAAAGUCAAAACAACGUAGUUACUGGAGCAUCGUUAAAGCAUACUUAGGUGGGCUACUCUGGUCGCGUUUGUUCGCACGAAAUAAAAACAAAAGGGGUAAAAGGCACAGCAGUAUUUGGUAUGAUUAAAUAUUUGAAGGCUGGGGCAUAAAAUGUUCUCCAAUACAGGUAAAACCAAUGUAUGAGAACAUCGUCGUAGCAUACAGAGGAAUGCUACUCUUGUUAACACUGGAAUAUUGUAAUAUACGUAGGAAUGCUUCUCUGAUCAAUUGUACCAGUCCAAAAUAAAACCAAAAGGGACGGUUGUCUUUUGUGAAUAAUCUAAAAUGUGAAGGAAAGAACGUAAACAGUCUUCCAAUUCUAAAAUUAUCCACCGAAAACAUUGUUAUAGCAUACGUAGAAUGCUACUGUGAUGAGGUAUGCUCGCGCGAUAGAUGUAACUGUCACACUGGCAUUCGGGUAUGCUGUCGUGAUAAAGCGUGCUGGAUUGGAUGGCCAAUUUAAUUUCUUCUAGCAUUUUCCAUAAUGCAGGUCUGCCAAUUCUACUCAUGCACAAAGACGAGGGUUCGCCACCUCUAUUCAUGCACAACGCACAAAGUUAAACUACCGGUAGUAGUGCAAACUAGCGUCUUCCUCGACACAUAUAUUCCACAUGUCUCACUCCCACAUUCCAUGCUCGAGCGCCCCUGGCGGCCGUCAGAAAAAUACACAAAUUGGCCGCAUCAUUGCAAACGCCGCAGGACCCAAAAUGAGAGAAAAAAGUAGCGGCUUGGAGUCCGGAAAUUACGGUAGUUUGUCAUGUAUCAGCCUAUGGUGAACCUACUUAAUUAGUUGCACACUCCCCACAGUGCACGUUUUUGUUGACGAAUAUAUUCCUGGGCUAAAUUUUGUUCCAUGUAAUCAUAUUUUGUACUUUGGAUGAUUCAAAGGAGCUAUUGAGAAAUAUUUUGGAAUUGGAGGUGGAGUGCCAUCCUCUUCACAAAAUGAUGAUUUCCCCAAAUGUACAAUUCAAGGUAAUGCUUGGCAUUGUCGUCUACAUAGUUAUGAGAUCAAGAAUCAAGAAAGAUGCACAUUAAGUUACAAUUUUAAUACAUUUUUACAAAAAUAUGGGCCCCUUGGCAUUAUUUUGCUUGGGGCCCCCAAAUGGCCUCGGCCGGCCCUGUCUAAAAUACUUCAAAAUCGGCAAAAUCUUGACUUGAAUCUAUCUUUAAAUGAUAAAACCGUUUUAAAAUUUUCACUUCAAGAUAUAAUAAAUAAAUGACUUCCAAACACAGCAAAGGUUACCAUGUUUUUGUUUUGUUUUUUUUAAAUGGGGAAAAAAACAUGAAAGGUAACACCAGUUACUUUGCCAAGUAACUAAUUACUCUUACAUUCAGGUAACUGAGUUACUAACUCAAUUACUUGUUGGGAGAAGUAAUUUGUAACUAAUUCAUUACUUUUUAAAAGUAUGAUUAACAAAACUGGUCAUAUAGAUGAAGUCUGCAGAAUGAAAAGUGACGAAAGCGGAGAUUUUAUUCUGUCAAUUUGUUGCCGAACAAAAUUUGCCUGCAACAUCACUUCUCAGAAUUAGCAAAAGAAAUGUUCCCUGACUCAAAGAUUGCAUCGGUGAGUUAAUAUUAUCAAUUGACCUUUUUAAUUUAUAAUUGGACACACUAACGAACUACCUUCUAGUCAACUGAAUUGCGAGCUGAAGUACACCCAUGAAGACAUGAUAGAAAUUGCCAAAAGUGCAACAUACAAUUAUGACAAAAGUCCCUUUUAAUUUUAGUAAUCAUGAUGUAGCUGUAGAUAUUGUUCUUUGAGUGCUCCAGGUUAUAUGUUACAAUAUUAACAAUAUAUUCAUAUUAUUUCAAAAAUUGAGUUUUAUUUUUGUUUCAUAUUGCACCCUUUAUACAACGUUGUAAGAUUGCCAACGGCCUUGGGUCGACAGGUAUGCAAUCACAGAUAUGGGGGGCGGGCCGAGUAGCCGGCCAUUGGGUACUGCGAUUGGAUAGGGAUUGCUUCGGUUUCAGAAAUGACGAUUGAGCGGUUCCUCCAUUGCUAAUUCAAAUUGGAAUGGACAUCUGUGUUUUUUUGUGCUCUUUAGCUGCUGUAGUUACCUCUUCAAGCAUGACUGUUGAUUUCACUGCUCAUCUUGACAUCAGUGCAUAUGUUAUGUUUACGCUGAAGCACUUUAGUUGAAUAAAUGCACACAGAACUGCACCAUUGUUUUUCGUUUGUGUUAUAGAUUUUACGAUGAACUAUCACUUGUGACUUCAGUGACAUAAAAUAUUUCAGUGCCCUAAUGUAGUAAUGUACGGAUAAUAACGCCCAUGUUCAGGCUAAAUUUAAGUUCAAGAAGUGUGCCUAAGACUAAGACUAAUUCAGAAUUUUGACAAUUCUUUUUGGAAAAAAAAAUGAUGGAUGCAAGUCAACACAUGCAUCUGAA
This is a long non-coding RNA of Corythoichthys intestinalis (scribbled pipefish), 6324 nucleotides long. RefSeq lists it as uncharacterized. The transcript is spliced from 13 exons. NCBI's taxonomy places the organism in Eukaryota, Metazoa, Chordata, Actinopteri, Syngnathiformes, Syngnathidae. The record is from RefSeq and is a predicted model, not a curated record.